GAGAGGUUGCGGUUGCACGGCUCAAGCUACCGGACGGUAGCCUGACACCAAUACGUUGCCGGCCCACAUCCAGUUCUUGGGCUUCACAGUCAACUGGAAGAAGAGCAAUGUGCAGCCCCGUCAACAGGCAGUGUUCCUGGGGAUUCUCUUCGAUUCAGCCAGUAUGAAAGCGUCUCUCACUGGUCGGAGAGCGGACAGCUUGAUCGAGACCCUGAGAACAGCCUGUGGGCUGACUUCUCUUCUAUUUGAACCGGGACAGUUUUUCUGGAGAAAAGGAAGGCAGUCACAUCCAGGCCUCUGUCUGCCCUAGGAUAUGAAGAAGAGCUUUAACCGCAACGAGCCGCUGAAGCAGAACGCCAUCAGAGCGACUAGACACCACCUGCCCCGAGGCCUUCCUUCGUCUCCCCCAGCUGCUUGUCCUGGGACACCGCGUUUUGUUUUUAUAAUUGCCUUUGGCCCUACAACUGCCACAGACAAUAAAUGUUUGUGAUGUGGGAUCGGGGAUGAGGCUCCGAACUCUCCGGAGAUGUCAGUGUUUAUGUUUGGCUUUGGGAAGUUUCCUGUCCCUGCAUGAGACGCAGGUUCCCCAGGUUGUUGUCCUACAUGGUUACGUGAUUAAGGUAUGAUCAAUAGACAGCAUGUUUAUAAAAGGAUGCUUAAUAUAUUAUGUCAGUUUUUAUCUUCAUCAGCUUUCUAAGCUGAUGUUCUUUUUAGCAAAUGGCAAUUAUUUCAAAUCGGACCAAAAACACUUACGGACUGUGCAAUAUAGAUUGAAUCAUUGCAAAUCCAUCCUCCUAAAUCACUUGACGCAUUGAAAAUGCAGCAUUGAUGUUGGCAACACAUAAAGAAAA
Molecule: long non-coding RNA, 851 nt
Organism: Gadus chalcogrammus (walleye pollock)
Lineage: Eukaryota; Metazoa; Chordata; Actinopteri; Gadiformes; Gadidae
Exons: 3
Source: RefSeq, a predicted model, not a curated record